UGGGGAAUUUUGGACAAUGGGCGCAAGCCUGAUCCAGCCAUGCCGCGUGCGGGAAGAAGGCCUUCGGGUUGUAAACCGCUUUUGUCAGGGAAGAAAUCUUCUGAGUUAAUACCUCGGGAGGAUGACGGUACCUGAAGAAUAAGCACCGGCUAACUACGUGCCAGCAGCCGCGGUAAUACGUAGGGUGCAAGCGUUAAUCGGAAUUACUGGGCGUAAAGCGUGCGCAGGCGGUUUUGUAAGACAGAGGUGAAAUCCCCGGGCUCAACCUGGGAACUGCCUUUGUGACUGCAAGGCUUGAGUGCGGCAGAGGGGGAUGGAAUUCCGCGUGUAGCAGUGAAAUGCGUAGAUAUGCGGAGGAACACCGAUGGCGAAGGCAAUCCCCUGGGCCUGCACUGACGCUCAUGCACGAAAGCGUGGGGAGCAAACAGGAUUAGAUAGCCCUGGUAGUCCACGCCCUAAACGAUGUCAACUGGUUGUUGGGAAGGUUCCUUCUCAGUAACGUAGCUAACGCGUGAAGUUGACCGCCUGGGGAGUACGGCCGCAAGGUUGAAACUCAAAUGAAUUGACGGGGUCA
RNAcentral lists this ribosomal RNA (574 nucleotides) under uncultured bacterium. RNAcentral describes it as "partial 16S ribosomal RNA". It matches the Rfam family "Bacterial small subunit ribosomal RNA", at positions 355 to 921 of the family's 1533-position model. The record is from RNAcentral.